AGCUCAGUUGGUAGAGUGCUUGCCUUGCAUGCAUAAGGACUGGGGUUCUAAUCCCCA
Molecule: transfer RNA, 57 nt
Filed under: Ictidomys tridecemlineatus (thirteen-lined ground squirrel)
Lineage: Eukaryota; Metazoa; Chordata; Mammalia; Rodentia; Sciuridae
Description: Spermophilus tridecemlineatus (thirteen-lined ground squirrel) tRNA
Rfam family: tRNA
About the family: Transfer RNA (tRNA) molecules are approximately 80 nucleotides in length. Their secondary structure includes four short double-helical elements and three loops (D, anti-codon, and T loops).
Source: Rfam by way of RNAcentral